This 1345-nucleotide ribosomal RNA is filed under the name Escherichia coli. RNAcentral describes it as "partial 16S ribosomal RNA". It matches the Rfam family "Bacterial small subunit ribosomal RNA", at positions 37 to 1354 of the family's 1533-position model. The record is from RNAcentral. Lineage: Bacteria; Pseudomonadati; Pseudomonadota; Gammaproteobacteria; Enterobacterales; Enterobacteriaceae.
UGUCGGCAGCCUACCAUGCAAGUCGAACGGUAACAGGAAACAGCUUGCUGCUUCGCUGACGAGUGGCGGACGGGUGAGUAAUGUCUGGGAAACUGCCUGAUGGAGGGGGAUAACUACUGGAAACGGUAGCUAAUACCGCAUAACGUCGCAAGACCAAAGAGGGGGACCUUCGGGCCUCUUGCCAUCGGAUGUGCCCAGAUGGGAUUAGCUUGUUGGUGGGGUAACGGCUCACCAAGGCGACGAUCCCUAGCUGGUCUGAGAGGAUGACCAGCCACACUGGAACUGAGACACGGUCCAGACUCCUACGGGAGGCAGCAGUGGGGAAUAUUGCACAAUGGGCGCAAGCCUGAUGCAGCCAUGCCGCGUGUAUGAAGAAGGCCUUCGGGUUGUAAAGUACUUUCAGCGGGGAGGAAGGGAGUAAAGUUAAUACCUUUGCUCAUUGACGUUACCCGCAGAAGAAGCACCGGCUAACUCCGUGCCAGCAGCCGCGGUAAUACGGAGGGUGCAAGCGUUAAUCGGAAUUACUGGGCGUAAAGCGCACGCAGGCGGUUUGUUAAGUCAGAUGUGAAAUCCCCGGGCUCAACCUGGGAACUGCAUCUGAUACUGGCAAGCUUGAGUCUCGUAGAGGGGGGGUAGAAUUCCAGGUGUAGCGGUGAAAUGCGUAGAGAUCUGGAGGAAUACCGGUGGCGAAGGCGGCCCCCUGGACGAAGACUGACGCUCAGGUGCGAAAGCGUGGGGAGCAAACAGGAUUAGAUACCCUGGUAGUCCACGCCGUAAACGAUGUCGACUUGGGAGGUUGUGCCCUUGAGGCGUGGCUUCCGGAGCUAACGCGUUAAGUCGACCGCCUGGGGGAGUACGGCCGCAAGGUUAAAACUCAAAUGAAUUGACGGGGGCCCGCACAAGCGGUGGAGCAUGUGGUUUAAUUCGAUGCAACGCGAAGAACCUUACCUGGUCUUGACAUCCACGGAAGUUUUCAGAAAAUGAAAAUGUGCCUUCGGGAACCGUGAGACAGGUGCUGCAUGGCUGUCGUCAGCUCGUGUUGUGAAAUGGUUGGGUUAAGUCCCGCAACGAGCGCAACCCUUAUCCUUUGUUGCCAGCGGUCCGGCCGGGAACUCAAAGGAAACUGCCAUUGAUAAACUGGAGGAAAAGGGGGGGGAUGAACGUCAAGUCUUCAUGGGCCCUUACAAACCAGGGGUUACCACCUUUGUUCAAAUGGGGCCAAACAAAAAGAAAACGAACCUCCCGGAGAACAACCGGACCUCCUAAAAAUGCGGCUUUAUUCCCGGAUUGGAGUGUUGCACCUCCACCUCUUGAAUCCGAAACUCUUUUAAUCGGUGAUAAAAUA